Small nuclear RNA from Hippoglossus stenolepis (Pacific halibut), 163 nucleotides. RefSeq annotates it as U1 spliceosomal RNA. Lineage: Eukaryota; Metazoa; Chordata; Actinopteri; Pleuronectiformes; Pleuronectidae. The transcript has a single exon. The record is from RefSeq and is a predicted model, not a curated record.
AUACUGCCACCUGCUUGGGAGAUACCAUGAUCAUGAAGGUGGUUCACCCAGGCGAGGCUCAGCCAUUGCACCGGUUGUGCUGACCACGUCGCGAAUUCCUCAAAUGUGGAAUCUCGACUGCAUAAUUUGUGGUAAUUGGGGACUGCGUCCGCGCUCUCCCUGA